Molecule: long non-coding RNA, 441 nt
Organism: Ictalurus punctatus (channel catfish)
Lineage: Eukaryota; Metazoa; Chordata; Actinopteri; Siluriformes; Ictaluridae
Source: Ensembl
CUUGACCCUGGCGAACAGUAUAAAACCUUCACAGCAUAAAACCUUCACAGCGUUUAGAGUGGACAGCCCCCUGAAGGCGAUGUAGAGGUCCUCAGGGCUACAGAGCUUCAUUUCAACAUGGCGGCGAACAGCAAUAGCGGCACGGGGAGUAAAAGCAGUGGAGGGAAGCAGUCUGGCCCUUCUGCCGAGCAGAUCCCUAAUGACCAAGCCAGAGGAGACAGUGGCAAAGAAAAAACUCCCUGAGACCUCAUGAGGAAGAAACGUUGAAAGGAACCGCACUGAAAAAGAUCCUCUCGUCUGGGUGUCUCUGGAUUGUAGGAUUAUAAAUCAUCACUCACUCUCCGACAGUUGUGUGUUAUAACAUCAGGGAGCAGAGAGUAUGUUGAAAGGUUGUAUGAGCAUCAUAGUCUGUAUAAUUACAGCAGCAGUUCUUACACGUAC